AUACGGAGGAUCCGAGCGUUAUCCGGAUUUAUUGGGUUUAAAGGGUGCGCAGGCGGCCAUUUAAGUCAGCGGUUAAAUCGUGGGGCUCAACCCCAUUCUGCCGUUGAUACUGGGUGGCUUGAUUGCGGUCGAGGUUGGCGAAAUUCGUUGUGUAGCGGUGAAAUGCAUAGAUAUGACGAAGAACACCGAUUGUGUAGGCAGCUGACCAGACCGCAAAUGACGCUCAUGCACGAAAGUGCGGGGAUCGAACAGGAUUAGAUACCCUGGUAGUCCGCACAGUAAACGAUGAAUACUUGUUUUCGGCGAUAUAAUGUCGGAGGCAAAGCGAAAGCGAUAAGUAUUCCACCUGGGGAGUACGCCGGCAACGGUGAAACUCAAAGGAAUUGACGGGG
RNAcentral lists this ribosomal RNA (392 nucleotides) under uncultured bacterium. RNAcentral describes it as "partial 16S ribosomal RNA". It matches the Rfam family "Bacterial small subunit ribosomal RNA", at positions 523 to 918 of the family's 1533-position model. The record is from RNAcentral.